UCCAGACUCCUACGGGAGGCAGCAGUGGGGAAUAUUGGACAAUGGGGGGAACCCUGAUCCAGCGACGCCGCGUGAGUGAAGAAGUAUUUCGGUAUGUAAAGCUCUAUCAGCAGGGAAGAAAAUGACGGUACCUGACUAAGAAGCCCCGGCUAACUACGUGCCAGCAGCCGCGGUAAUACGUAGGGGGCAAGCGUUAUCCGGAUUUACUGGGUGUAAAGGGAGCGUAGACGGUGCAGCAAGUCUGAUGUGAAAGGUCGGGGCCCAACCCCGGGACUGCUUUGGAAACUGCCUGACUGGAGUGCUGGAGAGGCAAGCGGAAUUCCUAGUGUAGCGGUGAAAUGCGUAGAUAUUAGGAAGAACACCAGUGGCGAAGGCGGCUUGCUGGACAGUAACUGACGUUGAGGCUCGAAAGCGUGGGGAGCAAACAGGAUUAGAUACCCUAGUA
Molecule: ribosomal RNA, 445 nt
Filed under: uncultured bacterium
Lineage: Bacteria
Description: bacterial SSU rRNA
Rfam family: Bacterial small subunit ribosomal RNA
Source: RNAcentral